GACGAACGCUGGCGGCGUGCUUAACACAUGCAAGUCGAACGGAAAGGCCCUGCUUUUGUGGGGUGCUCGAGUGGCGAACGGGUGAGUAACACGUGAGUAACCUGCCCUUGACUUUGGGAUAACUUCAGGAAACUGGGGCUAAUACCGGAUAGGAGCUCCUGCUGCAUGGUGGGGGUUGGAAAGUUUCGGCGGUUGGGGAUGGACUCGCGGCUUAUCAGCUUGUUGGUGGGGUAGUGGCUUACCAAGGCUUUGACGGGUAGCCGGCCUGAGAGGGUGACCGGCCACAUUGGGACUGCGAUACGGCCCAGACUCCUACGGGCGGCAGCAGUGGGGAAUAUUGCACAAUGGGCGGAAGCCUGAUGCAGAAACGCCGCGUGCGGGAUGACGGCCUUCGGGUUGUAAACCGCUUUCGCCUGUGACGAAGCGUGAGUGACGGUAAUGGGUAAAGAAGCACCGGCUAACUACGUG
This 468-nucleotide ribosomal RNA is filed under the name uncultured bacterium. RNAcentral's name for it is "partial 16S ribosomal RNA". It matches the Rfam family "Bacterial small subunit ribosomal RNA", at positions 28 to 507 of the family's 1533-position model. The record is from RNAcentral.